UGCCAGCCGCCGCGGUAAUACGAAGGGGGCUAGCGUUGUUCGGAAUUACUGGGCGUAAAGCGCACGUAGGCGGACUGGAAAGUAUGGGGUGAAAUCCCAGGGCUCAACCCUGGAACUGCCUCAUAAACUAUCAGUCUAGAGUUCGAGAGAGGUGAGUGGAAUUCCAAGUGUAGAGGUGAAAUUCGUAGAUAUUUGGAGGAACACCAGUGGCGAAGGCGGCUCACUGGCUCGAUACUGACGCUCAUGUGCGAAAGUGUGGGUAGCGAACAGGAUUAGAUA
This 279-nucleotide ribosomal RNA is filed under the name uncultured bacterium. RNAcentral's name for it is "partial 16S ribosomal RNA". It matches the Rfam family "Bacterial small subunit ribosomal RNA", at positions 506 to 784 of the family's 1533-position model. The record is from RNAcentral.